RNAcentral lists this unclassified non-coding RNA (328 nucleotides) under uncultured fungus. RNAcentral describes it as "partial contains small subunit ribosomal RNA, internal transcribed spacer 1, and 5.8S ribosomal RNA". The stretch from base 1 to 73 matches the Rfam family "Eukaryotic small subunit ribosomal RNA", at positions 1759 to 1831 of the family's 1831-position model. Lineage: Eukaryota; Fungi. The record is from RNAcentral.
GCAAACUUGGUCAUUUAGAGGAAGUAAAAGUCGUAACAAGGUUUCCGUAGGUGAACCUGCGGAAGGAUCAUUAACGAAUCGAGAGGCCGUUUUGGGUUGAUGCUGGCGCGAGAAGCGCAUGUGCUCGCCCCGGCCGAUCUUUCACAUCCAUACACCUGUGCACCUCUUUGGCCGUCAAAGGGAGGGGGAGACCCCUCUGACGGCCGAAUUCACACAAACUACUGUCGAACGAAUGAGAACGUGACGCGUGCCGAAAGGUCGCAAGUGAAACUACAAUACAACUUUUAACAACGGAUCUCUUGGCUCUCGCAUCGAUGAAGAACGCAGC